Molecule: ribosomal RNA, 255 nt
Filed under: uncultured bacterium
Lineage: Bacteria
Description: partial 16S ribosomal RNA
Rfam family: Bacterial small subunit ribosomal RNA
Source: RNAcentral
UACGUAGGGGGCAAGCGUUGUCCGGAUUUAUUGGGCGUAAAGAGCGUGUAGGCGGCCAGGUAGGUCAGCUGUGAAAACUCGAGGGCUCAACCUCGAGACGUCGGUUGAAACCACCUGGCUAGAGUCCGGAAGAGGAGAGUGGAAUUCCUGGUGUAGCGGUGAAAUGCGCAGAUAUCAGGAAGAACACCCGUGGCGAAGGCGGCUCUCUGGGACGGUACUGACGCUGAGACGCGAAAGCGUGGGGGAGCGAACAGG